GACGUAGGGCGCGAGCGUUGUCCGGAUUUAUUGGGCGUAAAGAGCUCGUAGGCGGCCUGUCGCGUCGGGAGUGAAAGCCCACUGCUUAACGGUGGGUCUGCUUCCGGUACGGGCGGGCUAGAGUAUGGCAGGGGAGACUGGAAUUCCUGGUGUAGCGGUGGAAUGCGCAGAUAUCAGGAGGAACACCGGUGGCGAAGGCGGGUCUCUGGGCCAUUACUGACGCUGAGGAGCGAAAGCGUGGGGAGCGAACAGG
RNAcentral lists this ribosomal RNA (253 nucleotides) under uncultured bacterium. RNAcentral describes it as "partial 16S ribosomal RNA". It matches the Rfam family "Bacterial small subunit ribosomal RNA", at positions 524 to 776 of the family's 1533-position model. The record is from RNAcentral.